AUGAAUUUCCUUGUUUGGGACUGUCGGGGCUUGGGGUUGGACCCGACAGUUGGGGAAUUAAGGGAUCUGAUAUGGUCAUACAACCCAGCGGUGGUGUUUCUGAGCGAGACUAAGAAGAAAGCGAGCGCAAUGGAAAAAGUUAAAUGGAGUUUAGGGUUUCGGAAUGGUGUGGCGGUGGACUGUGUGGGAAGGAGUGGAGGUUUAGCUAUGCUCUAG
Molecule: ribosomal RNA, 216 nt
Filed under: Triticum aestivum (bread wheat)
Lineage: Eukaryota; Viridiplantae; Streptophyta; Magnoliopsida; Poales; Poaceae
Description: partial small subunit ribosomal RNA
Source: RNAcentral